UGGGGAAUAUUGCACAAUGGGCGCAAGCCUGAUGCAGCCAUGCCGCGUGUGUGAAGAAGGCCUUCGGGUUGUAAAGCACUUUCAGCGAGGAGGAAGGGUUCAGUGUUAAUAGCACUGUUCAUUGACGUUACUCGCAGAAGAAGCACCGGCUAACUCCGUGCCAGCAGCCGCGGUAAUACGGAGGGUGCAAGCGUUAAUCGGAAUUACUGGGCGUAAAAGCGCACGCAGGCGGUUUGUUAAGUCAGAUGUGAAAUCCCCGCGCUUAACGUGGGAACUGCAUUUGAAACUGGCAAGCUAGAGUCUUGUAGAGGGGGGUAGAAUUCCAGGUGUAGCGGUGAAAUGCGUAGAGAUCUGGAGGAAUACCGGUGGCGAAGGCGGCCCCCUGGACAAAAGACUGACGCUCAGGUGCGAAAAGCGUGGGGAGCAAAACAGGAUUAGAUACCCUGGUAGUCCACGCUGUAAAACGAUGUCGACUUGGAGGUUGUGCCCUUGAGGCGUGGCUUCCGGAGCUAACGCGUUAAAGUCGACCGCCUGGGGGAGUACGGCCGCAAGGUUAAAAAC
This 561-nucleotide ribosomal RNA is filed under the name uncultured bacterium. Its description in RNAcentral is "partial 16S ribosomal RNA". It matches the Rfam family "Bacterial small subunit ribosomal RNA", at positions 355 to 900 of the family's 1533-position model. The record is from RNAcentral.